UUUUUUAAUUGAAAGCUUGUAUGAAUGGUUAAAUGAAAUAUUAGCUGUUUCAUGAAAAUUGAAUUAGAAUUUUAUUUUUUAGUUAAAAAGCUAAAAUAAUUUUAGAGGACGAGAAGACCCUAUAAAGUUUUAUAUAAAAUUUAUUUUAAUAUUUAAAUAAUUAUUAUUAUUCUAUUAAAUAUUUAUAUUUUGUUGGGGAGACAAUAAAAUUUAAUAAACUUUUAUUUUUAAAAACAUUUAUUAAUGAAUAAUUGAUCCAGUUUUAUUGAUUAUAAAUUUAAAUUACUUUAGGGAUAACAGCAUAA
RNAcentral lists this ribosomal RNA (305 nucleotides) under Isoneuromyia semirufa. RNAcentral describes it as "partial 16S ribosomal RNA". The record is from RNAcentral. Lineage: Eukaryota; Metazoa; Arthropoda; Insecta; Diptera; Keroplatidae.